UAGAGAAUCUUGCACAAUGGGCGAAAGCCUGAUGCAGCCACGCCGCGUGGAGGAAGAAGGCCUUCGGGUUGUAAACUCCUUUCAGCAGGGAAGAAGCGCAAGUGACGGUACCUGCAGAAGAAGGUCCGGCCAACUACGUGCCAGCAGCCGCGGUAAUACGUAGGGACCGAGCGUUGUCCGGAAUUAUUGGGCGUAAAGCGCGUGUAGGCGGCCCGUUAAGUCGGCUGUGAAAUCCUGGGGCUCAACCCCAGAACUGCAGUCGAUACUGACGGGCUUGAGGAAGCUAGAGGACAGUGGAAUUCCCGGUGUAGCGGUGGAAUGCGCAGAUAUCGGGAGGAACACCAAUGGCGAAGGCAGCUCUCUGGAGCUUUCCUGACGCUGAGACGCGAAAGCAUGGGUAGCAAACAGGAUUAGAUACCCCCGUAGUCC
RNAcentral lists this ribosomal RNA (429 nucleotides) under uncultured prokaryote. Its description in RNAcentral is "bacterial SSU rRNA". It matches the Rfam family "Bacterial small subunit ribosomal RNA", at positions 355 to 796 of the family's 1533-position model. The record is from RNAcentral.